UACAGAGGUCUCAAGCGUUGUUCGGAUUCAUUGGGCGUAAAGGGUGCGUAGGCGGCGCGGUAAGUCGGGUGUGAAAUCUCGGGGCUUAACUCCGAAACUGCAUUCGAUACUGCCGUGCUUGAGGACUGGAGAGGAGACUGGAAUUUACGGUGUAGCGGUGAAAUUCGUAGAUAUUCGCAAGAACACCAGUGGCGAAGGCGGCUCACUGGCCCGGUACUGACGCUGAGGUGCGAAAGCGUGGGGAGCAAACAGG
This 253-nucleotide ribosomal RNA is filed under the name uncultured bacterium. RNAcentral's name for it is "partial 16S ribosomal RNA". It matches the Rfam family "Bacterial small subunit ribosomal RNA", at positions 524 to 776 of the family's 1533-position model. The record is from RNAcentral.